RNAcentral lists this ribosomal RNA (468 nucleotides) under uncultured bacterium. RNAcentral describes it as "partial 16S ribosomal RNA". It matches the Rfam family "Bacterial small subunit ribosomal RNA", at positions 28 to 507 of the family's 1533-position model. The record is from RNAcentral.
GACGAACGCUGGCGGCGUGCUUAACACAUGCAAGUCGAACGGAAAGGCCCUGCUUUUGUGGGGUGCUCGAGUGGCGAACGGGUGAGUAACACGUGAGUAACCUGCCCUUGACUUUGGGAUAACUUCAGGAAACUGGGGCUAAUACCGGAUAGGAGCUCCUGCUGCAUGUUGGGGGUUGGAAAGUUUCGGCGGUUGGGGAUGGACUCGCGGCUUACCAGCUUUUUGGUGGGGUAGUGGCUUACCAAGGCUUUGACGGGUAGCCGGCCUGAGAGGGUGACCGGCAACAUUGGGACUGAGAUACGGCCCAGACUCCUACGGGAGGCAGCAGUGGGGAAUAUUACACAAUGGGCGGAAGCCAGAUGCAGAAACGCCGCGUGCGGGAUGACGGCCUUCGGGUUGUAAACCGCUUUCGCCUGUGACGAAGCGUGAGUGACGGUAAUGGGUAAAGAAGCACCGGCUAACUACGUG